Molecule: ribosomal RNA, 343 nt
Filed under: Iasis cylindrica
Lineage: Eukaryota; Metazoa; Chordata; Thaliacea; Salpida; Salpidae
Description: SSU rRNA
Rfam family: Eukaryotic small subunit ribosomal RNA
Source: RNAcentral
AUGCAAGUGUAAGUACGAGCUCGAGUACAGUGAAACUGCGAAUGGCUCAUUAAAUCAGUUAUGGUUCAUUUGAUCGUACGCUUUAAUACAUGGAUAACUGUGGCAAUUCUAGAGCUAAUACAUGCGUGAAGCACCGACCUGACGGGAGGUGUGCAUUUAUCAGACCAAAACUAACCGGGUUUCGGCCCGUUUCGAUGGUGACUCUGGAUAAGCUCGCGGAUCGCACGGUCUUGCACCGGCGACAUCUCUUUAAAGCAACUGCCCUAUCAACUAUCGUCGGUACGGUAUCGGCCUACCGAGGUUGUAACGGGUGACGGAGAAUCAGGGUUCGAUUCCGGAGAGG